AGUCUUGUUUCUCUACAAAUCGUAUAAAUCUUUCGCCUUUUACUAAAGAUUUCCGUGGAGAGAAACAAGAUUUUAUCCAAUUUUUUCAUACUCUGCGAUUUAGUGGAGUG
This 110-nucleotide small nuclear RNA is filed under the name Poecilia latipinna (sailfin molly). RNAcentral describes it as "U5 spliceosomal RNA (ENSPLAG00000000338.1)". It matches the Rfam family "U5 spliceosomal RNA". Rfam says of the family: U5 RNA is a component of both types of known spliceosome. The precise function of this molecule is unknown, though it is known that the 5' loop is required for splice site selection and p220 binding, and that both the 3' stem-loop and the Sm site are important for Sm protein binding and cap methylation. The record is from RNAcentral. Lineage: Eukaryota; Metazoa; Chordata; Actinopteri; Cyprinodontiformes; Poeciliidae.